CUGGCUCAGGAUGAACGCUAGCUACAGGCUUAACACAUGCAAGUCGAGCGAGGAGAUCCUCGGGAUGAUCCUAGCGGCGGACGGGUGAGUAACACGUGGGCAACCUGCCUCAUAGAGAGGAAUAGCCUUCCGAAAGGGAGAUUAAUACCUCAUAACAUUGCAGUUUCGCAUGGAACAGCAAUUAAAGGAGCAAUCCGCUAUGAGAUGGGCCCCGCGGCGCAUUAGCUAGUUGGUGAGGUAACGGCUCACCAAGGCGACGAUGCGUAGCCGACCUGAGAGGGUGAUCGGCCACAUUGGGACUGAGACACGGCCCAGACUCCUACGGGAGGCAGCAGUGGGGAAUAUUGCACAAUGGGGGAAACCCUGAUGCAAGCAACGCCGCGUGAGUGAUGACGGCCUUCGGGUUGUAAAGCUCUGUCUUCAGGGACGAUAAUGACGGUACCUGAGGAGGAAGCCACGGCUAACUACGUGCCAGCAGCCGC
RNAcentral lists this ribosomal RNA (482 nucleotides) under uncultured bacterium. RNAcentral describes it as "bacterial SSU rRNA". It matches the Rfam family "Bacterial small subunit ribosomal RNA", at positions 19 to 518 of the family's 1533-position model. The record is from RNAcentral.